AACUCAAUAGUGCAAUUGGUUAGUACGCGCCCCAGGAGAGGGCGAAAUGAGGGUUCGAUUCCCGCCUGAUGUCG
This is a non-coding RNA of Parelaphostrongylus tenuis, 74 nucleotides long. NCBI's taxonomy places the organism in Eukaryota, Metazoa, Nematoda, Chromadorea, Rhabditida, Metastrongylidae. The record is from the annotation of a GenBank genome assembly.